GUAGGUGAACCUGCGGAAGGAUCAUUCAUAACAAGUGUUUUAUGGCACUUUUUUAAAUCCAUAUCCACCUUUUGUGCAAUGUCAGGUUGGUCUCUUUUUUUUUAAAAAAAAAAAAGAGGUCGGCCCAAGCAUCAACCGUAUCUUUUAACUCUUUGACUGAAAAAUUUUAUGAAUAAAACAAUUCAAAAUACAACUUUCAGCAACGGAUCUCUUGGCUCUC
RNAcentral lists this unclassified non-coding RNA (220 nucleotides) under rhizosphere metagenome. RNAcentral describes it as "partial ribosomal RNA internal transcribed spacer region". The record is from RNAcentral.